UUUUCUUAAAAUCUGAUUAACGUGCAAUUUCUUUUUCUUACAUAUAUGUAUAUAUAUAUAUUUACAAAGCUUAUCCACUGUUCCCUGAUAUUGCUGAGAUGACCUAGGCUGUAAAUAGCACAUGUGCAGCAGCGAUGAGGAAGUGACUAGCAAGUUACUGCUCAGCCUUCCCCUAGGAAAUAGUUCUGAAUUCAUACCAUAAAGAAAAAGUUCCAAUAAUUACAAGUUUCAACAGGUAGACGGAAACAGUAUUUAAAAUAAUUUUGUUGAUUUGUAAAAAAAUUAAAUUUUAGUUUUAAAUAAAAGUAUUUGAAUUUCA
This is a long non-coding RNA of Parasteatoda tepidariorum (common house spider), 319 nucleotides long. RefSeq lists it as uncharacterized. NCBI's taxonomy places the organism in Eukaryota, Metazoa, Arthropoda, Arachnida, Araneae, Theridiidae. The record is from RefSeq and is a predicted model, not a curated record.